This 1210-nucleotide ribosomal RNA is filed under the name bacterium. RNAcentral describes it as "bacterial SSU rRNA". It matches the Rfam family "Bacterial small subunit ribosomal RNA", at positions 1 to 862 of the family's 1533-position model. The record is from RNAcentral.
UUAAAUUAGAGUUUGAUCCUAGCUCAGGAUGAACGCUGGCGGCGUGGAUAAGGCAUGCAAGUCAAGGGUGUGUGCGGAGCACACAGUUUAUAAAGUUAUAAAGUCAUAAAGUUCAUAAAGUCAGAAUCUUCUGCUUUACAAACUUUUUACUUUACGAACUUGUAACUUGUGCGCUUCGCGCACAACCGGCAGACGAGGUAGUAAUAAGUAGGAAUGUCCCCAAGAGUCAGGCAUAGCUACGCGAAAGCGUGGGUAAUUCCUGAUGGUCUGACCGCAUCACAUGGAAUGUGAAUUAAGUUUAUCAAGUUCAUAAAGUUGCAAGUUUAUAAAGUAAGACCAAUGCCGGAUUUUUUAGGCUCGCUUUUCUUACUUGAUGAACUUUAUAACUUUUUACUUUAUAAACUUAUUUCGCCUCUCAUGUGAUGCGGUCAGUAAAGUCGCAAGACGCUUUUGGAACAGCCUACUCGGUAUCAGCUAGAUGGUAGGGUAAUGGCCUACCAUGGCUAUGACGCCUAGGGGGGGUGAGAGCCCGAUCCCCACCGAUCGGACUGAGAUACGGCCGAUACACCUACGGGUGGCUGCAGCCGAGAAUAUUCCGCAAUGGGCGAAAGCCUGACGGAGCGACGCCGCGUGGUUGAUGAAGUUCUUAGGAAUGUAAAAACCUUUUAUUAGGGAGGAAGCGUGCGAAGCACACUGUACAUGACACUGAUGACACGAAUGUAAAGAACGAAUGACACGAAUAAAAUUAACAAGACUUGAUUUUAUUCGUGUCAUUCGCAUCUUCUAUUCGUAGAUUCGUGUCGAGUUCAGCGCGCUUCGCGCGUUUGACGUUACCUGAUGAAUAAGGGGUUGCUAAACUCGUGCCAGCAGCAGCGGUAAUACGAGUGCCCCGAGCGUUAUCCGGAAUCAUUGGGCGUAAAGGGUGUGUAGGCGGCUUUGUUAGUCCUCUGUUAAAUUCUUCGGCUCAACCGGGGUCUUGCAGGGGAUACGGCAAAGCUUGAGGGUGUGAGGGGUGAAUGGAACUCAUGGUGUAGGGGUGAAAUCCGUUGAUAUCAUGGGGAACACCAAAAGCGAAGGCAAUUCACUGGCGCACUCCUGACGCUGAAACACGAAAGCGUGGGUAGCGAAUGGGAUUAGAUAAUCCUUGCCCGCUAAUAAAACAUAGGCAAAAGGUGUCUCUCCCGAAGGCGACUUCGGGAUGAAAAUCUAG